GGGCCCGCACAAGCAGUGGAGUAUGUGGUUUAAUUCGAAGCAACGCGAAGAACCUUACCAGGGCUUGACAUCCCUUGAACGCUGUAGAGAUACAGUUUCCCUUCGGGGCAAGGAGACAGGUGGUGCAUGGUUGUCGUCAGCUCGUGUCGUGAGAUGUUGGGUUAAGUCCCGCAACGAGCGCAACCCCUGUUGUUAGUUGCCAGCAUUAAGUUGGGCACUCUAGCAAGACUGCCGGUGACAAAUCGGAGGAAGGUGGGGACGACGUCAAAUCAUCAUGCCCCUUAUGUCCUGGGCUACACACGUACUACAAUGGCUAUUACAGCAGGAAGCGAAAGAGCAAUCUGGAGCAAAUCCUCAAAAAUAGUCCCAGUUCAGAUUGUGGGCUGAAACUCGCCCACAUGAAGUCGGAAUUGCUAGUAAUGGCAGGUCAGCAUACUGCCGUGAAUACGUUCCCGGGCCUU
This 461-nucleotide ribosomal RNA is filed under the name uncultured bacterium. Its description in RNAcentral is "bacterial SSU rRNA". It matches the Rfam family "Bacterial small subunit ribosomal RNA", at positions 917 to 1382 of the family's 1533-position model. The record is from RNAcentral.